Molecule: RNA transcript, 2417 nt
Organism: Sus scrofa (pig)
Lineage: Eukaryota; Metazoa; Chordata; Mammalia; Artiodactyla; Suidae
Gene name: KIAA2013
Source: RefSeq, a predicted model, not a curated record
AGUCGAGAAGGAGGAGGAAGCAGUAGUGGCAGCGGCUGCGGCGCCUGUGAGGGGGGCCGGGGUGAGCGCCGCGAUCCAGGCCGGGAGUGAGGCGCGGGCGGCCGGGCUGGUGGGCUGGGCGGCGGGCCCGGCGGCCGCCCCCACGCCGCGCCCGGUGGCCCGAUGUGGCUGCAGCAGCGGCUUAAGGGGCUGCCGGGACUGCUGUCGAGCAGCUGGGCCCGCCGCCUACUCUGUCUGCUCGGCCUCCUGGUGCUGCUUCUGUGGUUCGCGGGCUCCGGGGCGCGGCGGGCGGCGGGCGGCCUGCAGCUGUUGCCCUGGCCCCGCGGCAAGCCGGGCGCCGCUGAGCCCUCUGCGUGUCUGGAGGCGGCCACCCGCGCCUGGCACGGCCUGCGGGAGCGGGGCGAGGCCGUACCGCUGGGCCCUGGAGUGCCGGCCCUGGUGGCCAACGGCUACCUGGUCCUGGACGUGGUCGGCAACCGGCUGUGGGUGACGCCUGGGGAGCGGGAGCCCUCCGUGGCACCGGACUUCUUGCCCUUCGUGCAGCUGCGCCCGCUGAGCGCACUUUCUGAAGCUGGAGAGUCAGUAUUGCUGCUUCGGGAAGGGCUGCUGCGGAGGGUGCGUUGCCUACAGCUCGGGACCCCGGGUUCGGGCCCGGCGGCCGCCGGCCCCGCCUCGGCCUCUGGCUUUGUCACGGGAUCUGGCCGAGACUGCGUGCUGCUGCAAGAGGACUUUCUGGCGCACCGGGGCCGACCCCACGUCUAUUUACAGCGCAUCCAGCUUAACAACCCCACAGAGCGCGUGGCCGCGCUGCAGGCUGUGGGGCCCACGGCGGGCCCGGGUCCCAGGGCCUUCACCAGCACCCUGGAGAAGGUCGGAGACCAUCAGUUCCUCCUCUACUCGGGCCGGUCCCCGCUUUUUUCCACGGGUCUAGUGUACCUGGUGGUGGUGGCCGCCAAGAAGCUAGUGAACCGUCUCCAAGUGGCUCCCAAGACGCAGCUGGACGAGACUGUGCUGUGGGUGGUGCAUGUCUCAGGCCUACUGGACGCCCAUGGGCUCAGAAGCAAAGCCGCCAAGGAGCUCAAGGUGCUCCAGGACUUGGCACGGAAGGAAAUGCUGGAGCUUUUGGAGAUGCCCGCGGCUGAGCUGCUUCAGGACCACCAGCGGCUCUGGGCUCAGCUCUUCAGCCCAGGCGUGGAGAUGAAGAAGAUCACCGAUGCGCACACUCCGUCCGGCCUGACCGUGAACCUGACACUCUACUACAUGCUCUCCUGCUCCCCGGCCCCGCUGCUCAGCCCCGACUUGAGCCACCGGGAGCGGGACCAGAUGGAAUCAACACUCAACUAUGAAGACCACUGCUUCAGCGGCCACGCCACCAUGCACGCUGAGAACCUCUGGCCAGGCCACCUGUCCUCCGUCCAGCAGAUCCUGCAGCUCUGGGACCUGUGGAGGCUGACCCUGCAGAAGCGCGGCUGCAAGGGGCUUGUGCGGGCGGGCGCCCCAGGCAUCCUGCAGGGCAUGGUGCUCAGCUUUGGCGGCCUGCAGUUCACCGAGAACCACCUGCAGUUCCAGGCCGACCCCGACGUGCUGCACAACAGCUACGCCCUGCACGGCAUCCGCUACAAGAACGACCACAUCAACCUGGCCGUGCUGGCAGAUGCCGAGGGCAAGCCGUACCUGCACGUGUCUGUGGCGUCGCGAGGCCAGCCCAUCAAGAUCUACGCCUGCGAAGCAGGCUGCCUGGACGAGCCUGUGGAGCUGACCUCAGCGCCCCAGGGCCACACCUUCUCGGUCAUGGUCACGCAGCCCAUCACGCCGCUGCUGUACAUCUCCACGGACCUCACGCACCUGCAGGACCUGCGGCACACGCUGCACCUCAAGGCCAUCCUGGCCCACGACGAGCACAUGGCCCAGCAGGACCCCGGGCUGCCCUUCCUCUUCUGGUUCAGCGUGGCCUCCCUCAUCACCCUCUUCCACCUCUUCCUCUUCAAGCUCAUCUACAACGAGUACUGCGGGCCUGGCGCCAAGCCCCUCUUCAGGAGCAAGGGCUUCCCGGGAAAGCACAGGAGGGCAGCCCUUGUCAGCGGUCCCGGGCGAGGGCGCUUCUAGAGGGCCGAGCUGGUUCCCCGCCGCCUCUCGUCCCUCGUCAGACUGUAGUGAGUUGCAGGGAGGACCCCAGCGUGUGAGGGACACUCAGUCCUGCUUUCAGGCGCCACUUGCACAAGACGCCCGGCACUGUAAGUCGUGCUGCUGUGAACAAGGGAUCCUUCGGAAGCACCCUGCCUUUUGUGCCUUGUUGGGGGACACCAGUGACGCAGAAGCACGUGUUCAGGAGUUUGUGUUGGGGAGCAGGGGAGGGGAGGGGCCCGUGGCCGCUUUGUAAGCUUUCGACUCAAUAAAAUGAACCUGUACGGAAAAUA